GAAGUUAGCGGCGGACGGGUGAGUAACACGUGGGUAACCUACCUAUAAGACUGGAAUAACUUCGGGAAACCGGAGCUAAUGCCGGAUAACAUUUGGAACCGCAUGGUUCUAAAGUAAAAGAUGGUUUUGCUAUCACUUAUAGAUGGACCCGCGCCGUAUUAGCUAGUUGGUAAGGUAACGGCUUACCAAGGCAACGAUACGUAGCCGACCUGAGAGGGUGAUCGGCCACACUGGAACUGAGACACGGUCCAGACUCCUACGGGAGGCAGCAGUAGGGAAUCUUCCGCAAUGGACGAAAGUCUGACGGAGCAACGCCGCGUGAGUGAUGAAGGUUUUCGGAUCGUAAAACUCUGUUAUUAGGGAAGAACAAAUGUGUAAGUAACUGUGCACAUCU
This 394-nucleotide ribosomal RNA is filed under the name uncultured bacterium. Its description in RNAcentral is "bacterial SSU rRNA". It matches the Rfam family "Bacterial small subunit ribosomal RNA", at positions 88 to 469 of the family's 1533-position model. The record is from RNAcentral.